RNAcentral lists this ribosomal RNA (505 nucleotides) under uncultured bacterium. RNAcentral describes it as "partial 16S ribosomal RNA". It matches the Rfam family "Bacterial small subunit ribosomal RNA", at positions 28 to 523 of the family's 1533-position model. The record is from RNAcentral.
GAUGAACGCUAGCUACAGGCUUAACACAUGCAAGUCGAGGGGUAACAAGAGAAAAGCUUGCUUUUCUUGUUGACGACCGGCGCACGGGUGAGUAACGCGUAUCCAACCUGCCUAUAACUAGGGAAUAACCUUGCGAAAGUAAGACUAAUACCCUAUGAUUUCCUUUGAUGACAUCAGAUUAGGAAUAAAGAUUUAUCGGUUAUAGAUGGGGACGCGUCUGAUUAGCUUGUUGGCGGGGUAACGGCCCACCAAGGCAACGAUCAGUAGGGGUUCUGAGAGGAAGGUCCCCCACAGUGGAACGGAGACACGGUCCAAACUCCUACGGGAGGCAGCAGUGAGGAAUAUUGGUCAAUGGGCGGAAGCCUGAACCAGCCAAGUAGCGUGCAGGAUGACGGCCCUAUGGGUUGUAAACUGCUUUUAUACAGGAAUAAAGUAGCCACGUGUGGUUAUUUGUAGGUACUGUAUGAAUAAGGACCGGCUAAUUCCGUGCCAGCAGCCGCAGUAA